RNAcentral lists this ribosomal RNA (470 nucleotides) under uncultured bacterium. Its description in RNAcentral is "partial 16S ribosomal RNA". It matches the Rfam family "Bacterial small subunit ribosomal RNA", at positions 28 to 507 of the family's 1533-position model. The record is from RNAcentral.
GACGAACGCUGGCGGCGUGCUUAACACAUGCAAGUCGAACGGUGAACGAGGGAGCUUGCUCCCUCCGGAUCAGUGGCGAACGGGUGAGUAACACGUGAGCAAUCUGCCCCGAACUCUGGGAUAAGCGUUGGAAACGACGUCUAAUACCGGAUACGACGCGGGAGGGCAUCCUCUCCGCGUGGAAAGAACUUCGGUUCGGGAUGAGCUCGCGGCCUAUCAGCUUGUUGGUGAGGUAACGGCUCACCAAGUCGACGACGGGUAGCCGGCCUGAGAGGGUGACCGGCCACACUGGGACUGAGACACGGCCCAGACUCCUACGAGAGGCAGCAGUGGGGAAUAUUGCACAAUGGGCGCAAGCCUGAUGCAGCAACGCCGCGUGAGGGACGACGGCCUUCGGGUUGUAAACCUCUUUUAGCAGGGAAGAAGCGAAAGUGACGGUACCUGCAGAAAAAGCACCGGCUAACUACGUG